UGCAGUAGAGGAGCAAGUGCGGGAUGUCUCCUUCAACAUGACAGGUGGGGCAGUUCGGUGACAAAAGGUGGUGACUUAAAGAGGAGCAGUGGAGUCCGCGCCACAUUCAACCGCAGCCUGUGAAGGAGUAGCGGCCUACCAGUGUAUGGGUCAUCGUAGGGUCAAUCGAAUGCAGAAAAGGGUUGGUCCUGGCAGCGUCUUGAAAGAAGGCAUGAGAGCUAUUUCUGCAGUAUCGGCGAAUGGCUAGCUGACAGGCAGACGGGGUAACCUUGGAACUCCUGGGGGUGGACACCACCGCCUCUUGCCCCCCUCUCGGUACUCCACCCCUUCAUCAGAUCCCGGAUUCAUUCCAUGCGCAGACCCAACUCAGAUAGAUGUUGACUGGGUUCUCAACGAGUUCGACGAUAAGGAAUGUGUGUCUCUGGUCAAGGAAACAUGCGGUAACCUGGUAGAGUAUACUACUCAACACUGGGUCGAAGGCAUAAGGAUACGUGAUAAUUGCAGUGCAAUCCCCCGGUGGACGGCCAUUGCAACCUUCACGGCUCGAGGCAACAAAUAUCCAAAAAGGGGUGGCCAUGCAGCCAUUUUUGAAUCCUGCACUCCAGAUGGCAUCUGGGUUUACGACCAGAAUGUCAGCCAGCCAGUACACAGAUGGCACUUCAACAGUUAUGCCAACCUCUUCUCCACUAUUCGGCUGCCAUAGAAAAGUACGUGAGGAAAAAGAAGGGUUUGAUCCAAUAUGUACCUUAUGUCUGAUUACUUGCCUUGCAAAAUAACUGGUCUGUAUUUUCCUUUCGUUCUUGUGGUGUUGCGCCCGAAAGGGUCUAUACAUAUGUAUACGUAUACAUAAACCAAAAUAAAAACUUCUAACACCAA
RNA transcript from Ornithodoros turicata, 876 nucleotides. It is a transcript of the gene named domesticated amidase effector 2-like, with no coding region annotated. The transcript has 4 exons. The record is from RefSeq and is a predicted model, not a curated record. NCBI's taxonomy places the organism in Eukaryota, Metazoa, Arthropoda, Arachnida, Ixodida, Argasidae.